CAUGCGGAUUAAUUCGAUGCAACGCGAAGAACCUUACCUGGGCUUGACAUGUUCCCGACGGCCGUAGAGAUACGGCUUCCCUUCGGGGCGGGUUCACAGGUGGUGCAUGGUCGUCGUCAGCUCGUGUCGUGAGAUGUUGGGUUAAGUCCCGCAACGAGCGCAACCCUCGCCCCGUGUUGCCAGCGGAUUGUGCCGGGAACUCACGGGGGACCGCCGGGGUUAACUCGGAGGAAGGUGGGGAUGACGUCAGAUCAUCAUGCCCCUUACGUCCAGGGCUUCACGCAUGCUACAAUGGCCGGUACAACGGGAUGCGACGCGGCGACGCGGAGCGGAUCCCUGAAAACCGGUCUCAGUUCGGAUCGCAGUCUGCAACUCGACUGCGUGAAGGCGGAGUCGCUAGUAAUCGCGAAUCAGCAACGUCGCGGUGAAUGCGUUCCCGGGCCUUGUACACACCGCCCGUCAAGUCAUGAAAGUGGGCAGCACCCGAAGCCGGUGGCCUAACCCCUUGUGGGAUGGAGCCC
RNAcentral lists this ribosomal RNA (521 nucleotides) under Bifidobacterium sp. MW-613. RNAcentral's name for it is "bacterial SSU rRNA". It matches the Rfam family "Bacterial small subunit ribosomal RNA", at positions 938 to 1455 of the family's 1533-position model. The record is from RNAcentral. Lineage: Bacteria; Bacillati; Actinomycetota; Actinomycetes; Bifidobacteriales; Bifidobacteriaceae.